Small nuclear RNA from Stegodyphus dumicola, 121 nucleotides. RefSeq annotates it as U5 spliceosomal RNA. Lineage: Eukaryota; Metazoa; Arthropoda; Arachnida; Araneae; Eresidae. The record is from RefSeq and is a predicted model, not a curated record.
AUUUCGUCAAUCGGCUCAGUAGAACAACGAGUUAAUCUUUCGACUUUUACUAAAGAUUACCGUGGAGAGGAUUCCUUUACUGAAUUAUUUGAAAUUUUACUUAUGAGGAAUAAUUACGUAG